GGAAUUAUUGGGCGUAAGGGCUCGCAGGCGGUUUCUUAAGUCUGAUGUGAAAGCCCCCGGCUCAACCGGGGAGGGUCAUUGGAAACUGGGAAACUUGAGUGCAGAAGAGGAGAGUGGAAUUCCACGUGUAGCGGUGAAAUGCGUAGAGAUGUGGAGGAACACCAGUGGCGAAGGCGACUCUCUGGUCUGUAACUGACGCUGAGGAGCGAAAGCGUGGGGAGCGAACAGGAUUAGAUACCCUGGUAGUCCACGCCGUAAACGAUGAGUGCUAAGUGUUAGGGGGUUUCCGCCCCUUAGUGCUGCAGCUAACGCAUUAAGCACUCCGCCUGGGGAGUACGGUCGCAAGACUGAAACUCAAAGGAAUUGACGGGGGCCCGCACAAGCGGUGGAGCAUGUGGUUUAAUUCGAAGCAACGCGAAGAACCUUACCAUGUCUUGACAUCCUCUGA
Molecule: ribosomal RNA, 448 nt
Filed under: Bacillus pumilus
Lineage: Bacteria; Bacillati; Bacillota; Bacilli; Caryophanales; Bacillaceae
Description: bacterial SSU rRNA
Rfam family: Bacterial small subunit ribosomal RNA
Source: RNAcentral